GAUGAACGCUGGCGGCGUGCCUAAUACAUGCAAGUCGAGCGAACAGAUGAGGAGCUUGCUCCUCUGACGUUAGCGGCGGACGGGUGAGUAACACGUGUAUAACCUACCUAUAAGACUGGGAUAACUUCGGGAAACCGGAGCUAAUACCGUAUAAUAUAUUGAACCGCAUUGUUCAAUAGUGAAAGACGGUUUUCCUGUCUCUUCUAGAUGGAUCCGCUCCGCAUUAGCUAGUUGUUAAGGUAACGGCUUACCAAGGCAACGAUGCGAAGACGACCUGAGAGGGUGAUCGGAGAAAAGGGAACAGAGACACGGAACAGAGGCCUAAGGGAGGAAGGAGUAGGGAAGAUUCCGCAAUGGGGGAAAGCAGGACGGAGAAAAGGAGAGUGAGAAAUGAAGGUCUAGGGAUCGUAAAACUCUGUUAUUAGGGAAGAACAAAUGUGUAAGUAACUAGGCACGUCGUGACGGUACCUAAUCAGAAAGCAACGGCUAACUACGUG
Molecule: ribosomal RNA, 497 nt
Filed under: uncultured bacterium
Lineage: Bacteria
Description: partial 16S ribosomal RNA
Rfam family: Bacterial small subunit ribosomal RNA
Source: RNAcentral